UACUGGGGUGGCAGAGCAUGGUAAAUUGCAUAAGGCCUAAGCCCUUAAAACCAGAGGUUCAAGUCCUCUCCCCAGUUU
Molecule: transfer RNA, 78 nt
Filed under: Pimephales promelas (fathead minnow)
Lineage: Eukaryota; Metazoa; Chordata; Actinopteri; Cypriniformes; Leuciscidae
Also listed under: 1 other name
Description: tRNA-Leu
Rfam family: tRNA
About the family: Transfer RNA (tRNA) molecules are approximately 80 nucleotides in length. Their secondary structure includes four short double-helical elements and three loops (D, anti-codon, and T loops).
Source: RNAcentral